UCAGUAAAGAUUUUAAUUAAUAGUUUAUAGUAUUAUAGCAAACUGUGCUCUUGAGGAGACACCAGAUACACUUAGACAUAGGCUAUUAAUCUUUUAGAGCUACUAUAUGCAAAGUGAUGAGAAAGUGAGCUCCAAAGGGGUGUCAGUACACUCUACAAACCAUAACAGGUAUGUUCCCAAGUCCUUCAAAUGCCAUCUCUUCGAUCACACAAUACAGAUAAAGAUACUUGUGUUCCACUUUCUAAUACCUAAACUGUGUCUUAGAGCACUUCAAACUACAUUACCAUGUACAGUAAGAGCAGGAGAGGUACGCAAACUUUCUGGACUUCGGACAAGCGUUUCAUGGUGCUGCUACUACUUCACUGCAUUGAGAGCUGGAAAAUAUGCUUUGUUCCAUGCAGUUAUAAACACACUUUAAUUCUGUGAAACGUACAUGUUAUAAAAUUAUUUCAUAUUGGAGAUAUAGGUACAUAAACUGACAAAUCGGUGUUUUUUCACACAAAUCAAGCUGAAUAAAAGAAAACUCGGCACUAACAUAGCAACUGUAGCUAUCAGUAGUGCUGGGUCUAUGUGUGCAUGAUGCCUGAUUGCUUUGAAUUUCUCUUUUAGGCCCCCUACGAGAAAAAUAAGCAGAUAUAGGGAUCAUUGUGUACUUUCUUGAGCGCAACUCGCCUCCAACCAGAGGGUGUGACGUCACACACUGCAUUUACCUAGCAUCACGUGGGGCGUUGCCUAUCCCUUUCUUUCGUGUAUCUAUGCUAUAAGGGAACAGGUCCAAUAGUACUGCCUGUAGAGACUUGUUGACUGUCAUGGCAUAGUCCUUGCCCAGGUCAUGACGACAGUUGGGGCAGCUGUACACGUCUUGAAGGAACGACUCAGACACGUCUAGUGUGGAUGUUGUGGCUGCAGGUGGUAGUGACGGGCUGGUAGAACACCUCCUGACACAUGAUGCAGUUGAAUGUCUCCUGGAUACGACUCAGCAGACCAGCCUUAGGGAGGAAACAAAGAAACCAAAACAUUGUGUACAUGCAGUAUACAGUACUCUACAGUACAUGCAGUGCAGUACAAUACCUUUACCAUCCAGUAUUAAAAUAAAUAGUACAACCAAUUUAUUUAUUGCAUUGUGAAGUGCACAAACUCAUUCAAAAAUAUGCUUUAAU
Halichondria panicea is the source of this 1160-nucleotide long non-coding RNA. RefSeq lists it as uncharacterized. The record is from RefSeq and is a predicted model, not a curated record. NCBI's taxonomy places the organism in Eukaryota, Metazoa, Porifera, Demospongiae, Suberitida, Halichondriidae. The transcript is spliced from 3 exons.